UACGUAGGGGGCUAGCGUUGUCCGGAAUCAUUGGGCGUAAAGCGCGUGUAGGCGGUUCGGUAAGUCCGCUGUGAAAGUCGGGGGCUCAACCCUCGGAUGCCGGUGGAUACUGUCGGACUAGAGUACGGAAGAGGCGAGUGGAAUUCCUGGUGUAGCGGUGAAAUGCGCAGAUAUCAGGAGGAACACCGAUUGCGAAGGCAGCUCGCUGGGACGUUACUGACGCUGAGGAGCGAAAGCGUGGGGAGCGAACAGG
This 253-nucleotide ribosomal RNA is filed under the name uncultured bacterium. RNAcentral's name for it is "partial 16S ribosomal RNA". It matches the Rfam family "Bacterial small subunit ribosomal RNA", at positions 524 to 776 of the family's 1533-position model. The record is from RNAcentral.